Mus spicilegus (steppe mouse) is the source of this 296-nucleotide unclassified non-coding RNA. Its record names the gene 7SK. It matches the Rfam family "7SK RNA". From Rfam's summary of the family: 7SK was discovered as an abundant small nuclear RNA in the mid-70s but a possible function has only recently been suggested. Two independent studies have found that 7SK RNA binds the CDK9/cyclin T complex (known as elongation factor P-TEFb). The record is from Ensembl. Lineage: Eukaryota; Metazoa; Chordata; Mammalia; Rodentia; Muridae.
GGAAGCAGGCUGAUCUGGCUGUCAAUGUCACCUACGGCCUGCCGGAGUUGAUACAGCUACUCUGGCUGGCUACGUGGGUAUUCUCUUCUUCCCUCAUCACACCAUGAUUCUCACUGCUGAAGCUUCGUCCUUGCAGAAGAUGACGGUUUCCAGUAGUGAAACCAUUCUCUAGUCUAGUCUCUCUCUUGCUAGAACUUCCAAAGUAGUUCUUAGGAGCUAGCUAGGAUAUGCCAAACCCAGCAGUGCUGGUCAUAUAAACACACAGACAAAGCUAAGUAGUGUCCUAGCACUACUAU